CCCUCCCUGGGGUGGGGGCCCCUCCCUGGUGCUGCUCAGGCUGAAAGGCUCAGAUUGGAGCUCUCCAGAGUCAGGGUUGAGCCCAAGAUCGGCCCCUACAUCUGCGUGACAUUGAGCAAGUCACUUUGUCUCUCUGAGCCUCAGUUUCCCCAUAGUAAUCUCUUUGUCACACAGCAGUUUUGAAGCCUGCAGGAGCCUCUGACACUGUGCCGGGACAGGCAGAUAUUCAGGCAGCGGGCGCUGUCUCUCCCUCCGGCUGCCAGCACAAGCACCACCUCCUCCGAGCAGCCUUCCCUGACUGCCCAGCUCCGAUGACCUCUUGGUCUGUCCUCUGGGCUGCACGGUGAGCCCCUCCGAAGUUCCAGAUGGACAUGGGACUCAAACGGCCAAUAACCAUGAGGCCCAGGACUUCUGCUGGAAGGUCACAUAGACAGCUGGAUCGAACUGUACCUGAAGCUGGUGGUCUCUGGAAUAUUCAGUUCCAUGAGUCACUUCACGGAGACACAACUCACGCACCGCACGAUCCACUCAUUUGAAAUGCACGAUGCGUCGGCUUCUAGCACGUUCACAGUUACGCACGUGUCGCCACCGUCCACUGCAGGACGGUCACAUACCCUGAACAGAAACCCUGUACCCUUCAGCUGCUGACCCCAACCCCUCUGCGCCCGCCGCCCCACUGCCCUGCAACUAGGAAUCCGCUUUCUGUCUCUACGCGCCUGCCUGUCCCGGACGCCCCCACACACACGGAAUCCCACGACCUGGAUCCUGUGUCCCCGGCUCCUCGCACCCGGCACCCCACUGCCAUGUCCACGCGGUGGCACGUGCCAGUGCUGCGCCCCCUGCCAUGGCCGGGCGACACCGCGGUGUGGACGGACCACGUCGCGUCUGUCCCGAUCCACUCUGCACAUCGGGCCCUUCCCGCCUUCUGGCUCUCACGAACGGCACCGCUGCGAACCGCGAGUGUAGACGCCUGCUUCCAUCUCUCUCCCGUGUCUACACCCGGGAGUGGGGUGCCGCCGCGUGGUCACUCUGUGACUUCCCUUCUGAGGAGCCCCCAGCCCUUCUCCCCGCCCCAGCCGGGCGCCCUCUCCCAUGGAGCGUCCUGCUCCCGGCCCCCAACGCGGCCACGGCCUGCCCUCCCCGGCCUCCCUUCGUGACUCGGUUUCCUUCCCGCCUGGGAGAGCGUAACAGUCCCCGGCCAGGUUCUCCGGGUGUUUGUGGGCGCAGCCGUCCCUGCCCGCGGCAGUGGGGACUUCGGUUGGGGACUUGCGCUCACUGGUGGCUCAGACUCGGGGCUUUAACAUCCCGUAGGAAUGACAAGUAGGAAGAGCAACCUUUUCUCUCUUUUUUGAAUCUUGGAGGCGUGGCGGCACGACGGCCUGGCGAGGCGGACUUGGGGGAGAUGCAUGUGGGGGUUCAGCAGAUGGGACCCCGAAGCCUGGGAGCGGACCCCUGGGAGUGGCUCCAGGCGUGAGGGUGGGUGGCAGGCGCCUGGCUGCCCAGGGGGCGCUGGGGGGGUCGCAGGUGCACCGUGGCGGCCAAACCCUGCGCCAGCUGCCCAGGCUCGCGGCUCAGCACAGUCUGGUGGGUUUGGGCCGAGUUCGAGGCGGGCACACAGCGAGGGCCAGCCCAGGCUGAGGCGGGCAUGGGAACUCACGCUCAGAGAGACCCUCUGGGGGUCUUCAGACUUCCGGGCUCAACAGCAGGGGCAGAGGCCAGGGGCCGACUGAGCACAGGGGUCACCCGCCCCUCCCGGACCCCAUCAGCCGCGCCCUGGGUGGAGGCUCAGGACGUUGACAAACCAAGAAGGGUGUGGGUCCGCUGGAAUGGAGACUGCCCUGGGACCGAUUCCUCUCCACGCCCCUCCCAGCCCCACCCCCAUGAAUCAGAGGUCCCCCCUAAAACCUCCCGCCUGCUCUCCGCUAGCCCUGACCGUGGGCUCUGGGGAUCCCGUUUGCAUCAGAAACACCCAUUUCCCGAGAGCGCCCGAAGCAGGAGGAAAGUGGCAAAGCCAGGGAGGAAAGCCAGCCCCGGCCUUUGCAGUGUGCUUGGCUCCUGACCACCCAAUGAAGGCCACGCGGGACACGCCCGGGGGAGCGGGUGGGGGGCUGCACUGCUGGGAGGAGCAGCUCCGGCCUCCCCUGCGGUGGCUGGCAGACGCGGCAGAGAACCACGCACCCCAACGUGUGGGGAC
Microcebus murinus (gray mouse lemur) is the source of this 2194-nucleotide non-coding RNA. The record is from RefSeq and is a predicted model, not a curated record. NCBI's taxonomy places the organism in Eukaryota, Metazoa, Chordata, Mammalia, Primates, Cheirogaleidae.